Molecule: long non-coding RNA, 10452 nt
Filed under: Brachypodium distachyon (stiff brome)
Lineage: Eukaryota; Viridiplantae; Streptophyta; Magnoliopsida; Poales; Poaceae
Description: long non-coding RNA (BDIS_LNC001471)
Source: RNAcentral
GCUCUUCGCCGAGCUCACCGACCACAUCGUGCCCGUGGCCACGGACUGCGAGAUGAGCAUGUACCACGGCACCACGGCCAGGGGCUGGAAAGGGAUGGACCCCUUCUACUUCUUCAUGAACCCGCGCCCGCGGUACACCGUCACGUUCCUCGACAAGCUCCCCGCCGAGCUCACCUGCGGCGGCGGUGGCAGGUCCUGCCAUGAGGUGGCCAACCACGUGCAGAAGCUGCUGGCUUCGUCGCUCUCCUACGAGUGCACCGGCUUCACCCGGAAGGACAAGUACCGGGCGCUCGCCGGCAACGAUGGCAUCGUCACCGUCAACACGGCCAAGAAUUGAUCGAAGAGGAUAUCUGUUGCGGCAGUACAUAUAUAAACACGUACAGUACAGACGUCCUUAAUUAAUCGGACUGUAACUUCACUAGUACUGUUCUUGGAUGAACUGGGCAAUGAUUCGUUGAUCGAUCGAACGGUAUAUAUAUGUAUGUAAACACGAUGAGUUGAAACAGAGAAACAAAGAUCACUGAACAAAUGAUUUUAUUUCGAUUCGCUAAAAAAUCAUCAAUCAUGGCCCGGUCAGCAAACCUCUUACAAUGUUCAUGCAUGUGACUAUAAGGUGCAUACGUUGCAACUCCUCCGGCACAAGCCAGUGUUGAAGUAAAUUGUCUAGUCUCUUUUCAUAAGUUCGGGCUUUUGGUUUAGAUAGCUAGCGCAUGCAGUUCAAUAUGGUAUCAGAACGGGAGGUCUCAAGUUCGACUCCCGGCCAACGCAGUAUUUUAAACAAAUAUUUGCGGCACCCCAAACAAACGUAGGGUGAGUGUUGAAUUAAAUUGUCUAGUCUCUUUCCAUCAGUGGUUUAGAUGGCCAGCGCAAUGCUGGUCCGCACCUCGCUCAUCACGCUCUUCCCGUCAACCACCGUUGACUUCUGCAGCAUGCCCUCCGCCUUCGCCACACGCACAGCCGUCAGCCCAUGCAUGUCAAUUUGUCGUUGUCAGGUAAGUGAUUAAGCGUGCCGAGACAGAGAGAUUCGAGCGAGCACGCGAGCAAAUAAACUCAUCACUUACCAGCGCGACGAGGUGAUCGCACUCCGCCGCCGACAGGAACCCUUGUACAGGAACGCCCUGGACAAGGAGAUAAGAGGACCACAAUUAUAACGCGAUUGGGCCUUGUUCGGAGGGCUCUACGGUCGUAUGGGCGGAGAGAGGGAGAUUGGUCGGUCACCUGGGGCGCCACGAGACAUGGACGGCGUGGGAAGGGUCGAAGCGUCCGCCGCCGCCGGAGAAGGAGAAGAAAGCCACAGCGUAGGCGAAGCAGACGAGCAGGACGGCGAGGAGGACGCGCUGGAAAAGGAGAGCUGCCAUGCGGUGCGGCGGCGGGGGCGAGGUGCGCGUCAUCGCCGGGAUCUUCUGCUUCGGCGAUGGAGACGACGAGUCGAGCUAUGGGUCCGGUUUGUCAGCGCCGGAGUUCCUUUUUAGACACUGUCAGUGCUGGAAGUAAUGAGCAGCCGCCCCUUGCUGUAUCCAUCCCAGUGACGUCGGCGAGACCUUCUGGAAGGGUCGGUGACGCGGCGCCAGAUAGGGGCCAUAUGGACUACUCGCCGGCAGGCCCGUAUGGGCUUGGGCUUGGUUUGACUAUGGAAAUGAAAGCAAAAUACACUACUGUUAAUAUUUAUGCAACGAAAUCAAAACGAAAGCUUAAAAAUCGACCAGGUCCUAACCUUUUAGUCAAAAGAUACCGAUGACUGUGAGCCCUCGCCAAUAGUAAGCACAAGCGCUUAUGUCUUCGGGGUCUAGAGGUUGACAAUGGCUUUGUUGUAGAUCAAUGUUGGAGGAGCGAUAUGACAAACGGCAGUCUUGCUUGAAAACUUGCAUAUGCUCCACAACCAUUUUGUCACAACAAUAGGAUGACCCGUAAAUAAGUAUGUAGUAAUCAUGAUUCACAUUAUAGAUUGAAUUAGGGCAAUGAUUAGUUUUUGUUGGCUUUAAGUAUCUCAGCGAUCAAGAAAACAUAUGGUUUUUUCACUUGAGAGACUGCAACUUUGUUAUACUCACUUUCAUUCAUAAAAAACUACAUCUCUGCCUAUGGUUCAAAUAUGUAUUUUUCCCACGAAAGAACAUUGAAAUCUAUGAUAAUACUGAAAUGUACAAAUCUCGAUCGAUAAGACAAUGUGUGUUAGGGAGAUUAUUAUCCACUUUGCAUCUCUCAAUCUCAUUUUGUAAAACAAAGCAUGUUGAAGUCAAAAUGUACCCCCUAGUCAUCGGCUCAUGACUACCAGGCCAAUCAUAAAAUAGAAUCUAUGACACAUAUGAAUUGACAUGGCACAAGAUGAACCCGUGGAGUCGGAAAAAAGAAGUCAUUUGCAUCGAUUUUUCAUGAAAAAAUCCAACAAUCCAUUCUUAGUGGCACACAAAUUCUUUUUUUAAUCAGCCAUGGCCUUUUACGAAAAAUUGAAGUUAUUUCUGUCGUACCAACACCUUUUCUUCUGACGGAUCAUAUCCUGAUGCAAUAACCAAAAGUAAGAAAAAGAAAAGAGGACAAAAAGUACGAAUCUAAAUGUACACAUCGCCCAUCCAUCCGUGCAGCCGCCACCCCCGGAUGCCGUUAAACCCUAACUUCCAUCUCUCCUAUUUCUAGGGUUUUUCUCACUGCCAACUCUCCACUCCCUUCCCCUGCUACCCCCCACCCCCUCCAACAGCAACACAUCAAAACCCGCCGCCGCCGCCGCCGCGCCGCCAGACCGGCGGAGGAACGAGCCACCAUGGAUCGGUACCAGCGGGUUGAGAAGCCGCGGCCCGAGGCCGCCGCCAUCAGCGAGAACGAGAUCCGUAUCACCACACAAGGCCUCAUCCGCAACUACGUCACAUACGCCACCUCCCUCCUCCAGGUACCACACCAGCCGCCACUCGCGCAUCCGUCGGCCAUCCCCUGUUUCACGGGAGCAGCCUCGCAUCGGUGCGAUAUCCUGCUAGAUCUCGUUGCUGCACGAAAACAAAAAACAUAUCCGGCAAUAUUUGGUAGAAAUGCCCUGUCUGGGCCCUGAUGGAAAUGCUUGUGGGUUAGCCACCCCCUGUGGUAUCGGACGCACGAUGUAUCGAGUGUUUGGGUUCGAGACAUGCACCUUCUGGGUAGGAACCUUUGAUUUAUUGUGUGGAGUCCCUUGUAGCUGGCGAUUAACAUGUAUGAUAUCUAGUUUUGCAAUUUGCAUUAUUUCUACGAGAUUUGGUGCUCCAAGACCAAAACCCCAAAUUUACGGCAAUGUGAUAUUUUCCCACCCUCUUAAAUGGAAUGUUAUUCGGUCCAGGAUAUAUGCCCGCUGUGCAAUACACUAUCGUAGAGUAGUGAGUAAUACAUUCGGUCAGGGGUGCUGGUUACCGAUUGUAUCCACAUUACAACAAAUUAUGCUCCUCUUUCUCGAGUGCAAAUUGACAACUGCUGUUUACUGCACUGUGCAAUGUUUUCUUUCGCUCACCUUUCAGUGAUCUCGCUGUACUUCUAGUUCUGAUGACUGAAUUCACUCAAUUCAGAGGGUUCUCUUGACAGUCAUUAUCCGAAACAGAUUCCAUCAUGUUUAGUUGGCAAAGGCUGGUAUUCUCUUGGUGUGAACCCCUUAAUACAGAGCCAAUUGCCAAUAAAGGAAUUGAGAUUCGAACCAAAACACUGAAUGGGUUCCUUGCCCCUUCUGUUCUUAGAUGCAUCAAACGAGUUUCCCUGCUGGCCCUUUGCUUGCACCUAGCCGAUAUCGUUGCUGUUAUGCUGCCAGCAUGGCUUGCUGUUUUGUAUUUUCUAGAUUACUACUGGUCAUUGCCAUUUCCAGAAGCUAGGUGCUUUUAUUCAUCUUACCCCAUUUUACCUUGGUAGUGAUACGGUGAUACCACAUCCUGGAGUCUGUUUAUUCCUUAAUCAAGGAGGAUGCAUCAUGCAACAAAUGUGUUAAUCUCAACCUUUCUUGUACAACUAUGACCUGCUAGUUUAUAUCCUGUGAUGCCAUUUGUAAUUGGCUCACUAUUACUACUCACCCAAAUCAUAUGUUGUGGUAUCCAUGCAUUGAAUCUUAUAAGCCAAUGAAAGCAGGAAAAAAGGGUGAAAGAAAUUGCGCUAAAGGCUAUGGGACAAGCUAUCAGCAAGACAGUGGCUAUUGCUGAGAUCAUAAAGGUUGGUCUGUUCGUAGGUCUCUUUAGACACCAUUGUUUUGACUUUUGGAAAUUUACCAGCUCUAUUAACUGCAGAAAAGGAUCCCUGGGUUGCAUCAAGAUACAACAAUAAGUUCAGUCAGUAUUACUGAUGUAUGGGAACCCAUUGAGGAAGGCCUUGUACCGUUAAGUCUCAAACCUGUGCAUUUGCUGAUAUAUCCUUGGAUCACCCUCUUGGUCUGUUUUAUUAAUAUUGUCGUCUUGUUGCAGAUUGGAGAUGACUCGUCAUGUUUCAAUGAUCUCAAUCUCCUUGUCACCUAAGGAGCUUGACACGAAUGCACCUGGGUAUUCUGCUUGACAUAGUUUCUUUCUCAGGAUUUGUUUUGAAGCAUCUAAGGAUGCACUAGCUUGAUCCUAUGAGUAUUCUUCUAAUAGACUUUUAUGCGAUACUGUUGUAUUUUUUUAGAUACCAAGCUCCAGUCCAUGCAGAGCCACUUAAACCAAGGUACCAGCAGGUUCAGCAAUAUCAACAACAACACCCGCCAAGGCAAAGUCAUGGUCAAACAGGUGAACAUACAAUUACUAGAUGUAGUUUUUAUGUGACUGAACUCUAACCUGUUCCACAUAUAUUGAAGAUUCAUAUGGACGUGGACGUGGAAGAGGCAGAGGGCGAGGAAGGGGCUGGGGUGGCAGGGGAGGUUAUGGCGGAGGUUAUGGUGGGUAUGAUAACUACCAAGGAGGUUAUGGUGGAUAUGGCAACCAAGGAGGGUAUGGCCACAACCAAGGUGGGUAUGACAACCAGGGAGGUUACGGUCACAACCAAGGUGGAUAUGGCAACCAAGGAGGGUACGGACACAACCAAGGUGGCUAUGGAGGUGGAUAUGGUUACAACCAAGGUGGAUAUGGGGGAUAUGGUAAGUGCUAUCAUAGAUUUUGUUCUGUUUUCUGUUAUUUGAGUUUUCAAUACCAUUGGCGAAGUAUUUAUGACGAUGCAAUCUCUAGAAUAGUUUAGUGUCUAAAUUGCUUCAGUUUAUAUGUUGUUUGUGCUUUUUGUUUUGUUUUGUUUUGUUUUCUGAAGAUUCUAUAUAACUAUUUACACUCACCAUUUGCCUCAUCAGAAAAUGGUGGCUGGAACUACAACCAGAACAGAGGCCGUGGUGGUGGUGGCGGCGGUGGCAGAGGAAGAGGCAACUGGGGAUACAGUGGUAUGUGUAAUCUCAGUGACCUACAUUCUAUUGAGUCAUAAAUUGAAGUUUUUAUUGGUACCCAUCUGUCCUGUUUAUUUAUCUCAACUCACUGCAAAUAUAACUGGCAACAAUUUGUGCCGCUGAUUGGUGCCUCCCAUAUGCCAGAUGUUGGUCGAAGUAUUUGUUUGAACUUGCUAAUCAGGAGACACACGAAGAAAUGACUGUAUAUUACUGUAUCGAUUUGAUCUUUGGUGCCAAUGAUAUGAUUUCACUACUUUUAGAGCUAAUCUGAUUUCUCUUUAUUUUCUUUGUUAGACAUGUGGGUAUUGUGCAAUAAACAUAUUCUGAAAACUGAGUUAUAUAGAUAUUGGUGAACUAGGAAUAGUUUCUUAACAACUUUCUUGUGUAAGUCCCAACCCAUCUUUUUAGACCAUAUUUGUGUAUUGCAAUCACAUUAAUCAAACAUGACUGCUUGUGAUUCAGAAAAAGGAUGGAUGCUGUAAAUGAUAGAAUAAUAACAUCCCAUUUCUUCCAAAAAUCAUUUGAUGGCAUUACUUCGAUGAUUCUGUGUUUUGCUUUCGCAGUUCAUCUACUGUAAUUGGCUCUUGUUUAAAAACAAGUAAAGUCCUUAAACAAUCGAUUAUGGGAUCUGUCAUUGCAUCCAAAGGUUCUGGUGUUUGCUUUCACAGUUUAUCUGGUGUUGUAAUUGGUUCUUAUUGAAAGAUAAGUAAAUGGAUCAGUUGCCAUCUUGUUGCAUAGUGAGUUCUUUAAACAAUCAAUGGUGGGAACUGUCAUUGCAGGACCAGGAUACGAGCGUGGUGGCAGAGUUGGAGGCGGCCCAGGUGGCCCAGGCGGCAGGGGUUAUGUGCGAGGUCGUGGACGGAUGGGUCCUGGACGUGGGCGGGGCAACCAGAACUAUUAGACCAUCAGGUGCUGUAUUGUUACAAAAAAGAGAGAAGGGACGCGUUCUGUGGAUUGGAACCGAACCGUAGUGCUGUUUCGUUGUGAACCAUCGACUAGCCUUCCCAGUUUUUAGCUAUAAUCACCAAUGGUAUCUGUACCAUUGCUUCAUUUCUGUGGGAUUUUGACAAGCAUGUUAUGUUAUUCCUGGGACACCUUUCCUGUAUUUAAGAGUGCAUUUUUGAAUAGUUCAUCUGUUUCCUGCCUCGGCUUCCUUAGUUCAUGUGCCAUCUCUGUACAGUUGUGUCUACUGAACUGAAGUUGUUCGUAUCUUGCGAACUGGAAACUGAAGGUUCUGUAAUUUGAGAACUCUAUUUUUAAUCCUUAUUGCUCUUGUCAGCGAAAUCAAUUGAAAAUCUAGUUUGAUAGGUAUAAGCUCCAAAUUCUGCCGAACAGGCCCUAGUAUUUUGGUCCCAGUGUGCUUGCAAAAGCCACUUGACCUACAGAUUUGUGAGCACAUCCUGUCAGGUUCUUUCUAGAAUGAUCGUCGAAAUUUGUAGGAUUUUAAGUUUUAACCCAUGGGAAUUUUUCUACUCCGUACGAAAGCCUUUUUGGAUCCAAGGGAUGACGAGACUUAGCAAAGCCGUCACAUAUUGCUAAAUUUUGUGGACAUCGAAAAUCUCUUGUAAGGUCGAUUGAAGAACUUACUUACUCCGUACUUGAUUUUCCCCUAAUCAUUAUUGUAUAGCUGGCUGUUUGUCUUUGCAUUAUCACUAUACCAUUACUCCCUAUGUUCUAGAAAUAUAGGGUGCACGUUUCGCGAGAUUUAACUUUGACUACAAUUUGUUCGGAUCUAUAUGAGCACGGUGUGAUACAAAAUUGAUAUCAUCGAGUUAUUAUUAAAAAAACUCUAGAUUAGUACUAAAUCAGAAGAGACACUUACUGUGAUUCGGAGGGAAUAUCAAUUACUCUCUCCGUCUCAUAUUAAGUGUAUCUAGGCUUAAAAAGCGUCUAGAUACAUGUAAUAGAAAAGUCAUUUAAUAUGGGACGGAGUGAGUAUAUAUAACCAAUCCAUGUAAAGUGUGACAAAUCAAUUAAAGUUAAAUUUUAGAAAACCCUACUUUACCCUAUAUUUUGGAACCCAGGAAGCAAUUAUGCUCCUUGGUAAAAUCUUAGAAUUAAAAUCUGUUUCAGUCGCCUGGUUUUAAACAAAACCGGCCUGAAAUCACCGGUUAAGAUCUAAGGGUCGUCCCCACUAUCCUAUCUUCCACGUGCUAUCGUUAGAUUAAGAUCCGACAGUCAAAUACGUCGACUGAUCUCUAACUAACGAACAUACCAUUUCUGAAUAGCAAAACCGUUAAAAAAUAUUCUUCCAUCAACAUCAUCAGAGCACCGUCAAACCGCGGUAAAAGUGCACAUGUUACCAUAUUUCAGUGGUUAUUAAGUGAGACAAAAAGUAAAAGUAGUUCGAAUUAAGGGCGGAAGCCCAAUCUAGCCGUUCAGGGAUCAGGAAAGUUGACUUGUCAAGUAAAAAAAAACCUGACCGGCCGUGAGAAGCUGAAAACAGUCCAGUGCUGGCCGUCUCUCACGCACUGCCCUUGUUUCGCAUCCCCCAAACUGAAACAACACGGUGGACGCCACGUAUUCCGUCACGCAACAGGGAAGGAGGGGGGCUCGUUUCUGUUCCGGUGUCUAUCUAUCGGCCAGACACCACAUGCACCGGCUACUACUGGACACGGCCCGAUGAACAUGCCCGAAUAGGCUGGCUGCAUCCAACGAGUCCACUGCUUCAGCCCGACCGAACCUGGACGGCUCCCCGUCCAGGUGCUCCGUUCCGUCGCCCAGAUUCAUCCGAUCGGCCGGCUGGCCUAUAUAUUACAGCGACAGCUCGCCUUCGUUGUGCCUAGCCGGCGUACGGUAUUGAUGCCCCCCCACCAGUGAAGUGAUCAAAAUCGAGAUUCGAGAAGUCAAUCAUUAGCUGAGCUAGCUACUGAUUCAUAGAAGGAAGUGAUUCGAGGAGGUAAUAGAUAGCUUAGGCAUGUGUUGGUGGAGAUAGAGAGAAAGAUGGUUCAGGUGGGCAUGGCUCAGCCGGCGAGCCCCGAUGCGGCGGCGCACGUCGCGCACAAGAUCCCCUCCGGCGACGGGCCGUAUGCACGGGCCAAGCACUACCAGGUAAAUCUAGGCUCGAAUUCUGAAUCGACAUGCUUUUUGCUGGCUAGCUAGCUAUACCUAUGCAUUUUCCGGCAGAUGUGGGAAAUGUGUGCAUGGAGAUGUCCGUAGAGUGGAAUUGUAUUAUUCAGAUAGUGUAGAUUCUCUUGGUCUUGACAUAGUGAGACGCUCAUAGUUUAAUUAUUGUGCUAUAUCUCUCGUAUAGUAUACAAAACAUUUGGUUAAUCAAAGUAAGAUGGGUAGAAGAGAUUACAGAUGCAUGCAUCAAGUUAAACAGAUUUAGUCAACGAAUGUGCGGUUGUUUUAAUGUCAGUUCCAUCCCUGGUUGGUUAACCACAGCCCAUCUUAGUAAUCUCCGCAUACUUCCUCCGUCCCAUAUCAAGUGACUCAAAUUUGUCCAAAUAUGGAUGUAUCUAUUACUAAAAAACGUCUAAAUACAUGUAAUAAAAAGACAAUUAAUAUGAGACGGAGGGAGUAUAUGCUAAGACGGAUGCGGAGAGCCAGAUUGCACACCUGGGGUUCGCUCUAGCAUAGAAAGUAGAAACUACUCCCUCCGUUCCUAAAUUCUCUUGUCGUUGUUUUAGUACAUAUUUAAACUAAAACAAUGACAAUAAUUUAUGAACGGAGGAAAUAGUAGUUAUAUGAUUUUUUGGGUAUUUUAACAGCAAGAAUUUAUUUAUAUCGAGAAUGAGACGAAACAACGAGAAGGUUCCAUUUUAAGGCCAUCCACGCCACACCGCAGCUUACUUCCCUUUUCACUUGUGGCACCGAAGUCUACCACUGGAGCUAGAAAAUCCAUGGAUGCCUAAUGCCAAGAUUCCUAGUUCCGUUUGCAUCAAUAGGCACCGGGCAAAGUCAAAAAGACACAUCAGAGCCCCACCUGCAAGUGAAGUUGGAGAGGAAGAGAUCAUUUAUUUUACUCAUGGGUCCCACCCUGAAGUUAGCACCGGAUUUGUUUAGCAACAGAAUAUUACUGAACUUAUAUAUAGGACCUACGUGACGUGUAAUGAAAAACUUAACUAAACUGAAAGAUCGAUGGCCUGCUAAGAGACACUAGCAUUAUCAUGGAGUAGUAGUGAGUUAUUAGUGACCGCAUGUUGUCAUUUUUAAGCACGGACGCAGUCCAUGUAAUCAUAUACUCCUACAUUGCUUUAAUUAAAUUCCAUGCGAGAUUGCAAUUAACAUAUACAAACGUGGACGACAACGGGCACUAAUUAAUCUACAAUUUCCUCCGCGGGCAUGCAAUGCAUGCAUCAUCUCGCUCUUAAAUAAACAAAUUAACCAAUAUAUGCAAACUGAAUCGAUCUCAGCUGGUGGAGAAGGACCUGGACGCGUCGAUCGUGUGGUUCUGGAAGGCGAUCGAGACAGGGGACAAAGUGGACAGCGCGCUCAAGGACAUGGCCGUGGUGAUGAAGCAGCGCGGGUACCUGAAGGACGCCAUAGACGCCAUCAAGUCGCUCCGGCACCUCUGCAACCCGAGCCGGCAAUCGCAGGAGUCGCUGGACAACAUCCUGCUGGACCUCUACAAGGCCAGCGGCCGCACGAGGGAGGAGAUCGACCUGCUCAAACAAAAGCUCCGGCGCAUCUUCCACGGCGAAGCAUUCCCCCGUGGUAAAUCCACGAAGCGGGCUCGCUCGCACGGGCGGAAGAUCCACGUGUCCGUGAAGCAGGAGACGUCCAGGGUGCUGGGCAACCUGGCCUGGGCGUACAUGCAGGAGCGCAACUUCAUGGCGGCGGAGGCGGUUUACCGGAAGGCGCAGAUGGUGGAUCCCGACGCGAACAAGGCGUGUAACCUGGCGCUUUGCCUUGUGGAGCAAAGGAGGAUGGGGGAUGCGGAGAAGGUGCUCGAUGGCGUGCUCUCGGGAGUGUAUGUGGAGCAGAUUGGAGGAGGGGAGAAGGCUGUGAGGAAGGCGGAGGAGCUGAUGGAGCGGAUCAGGGCUGGUAAGGGAGGUGACGGGGUGGAAGAAGAUCAGGAGGAUGGCGUUGAGGCGGAUGAGAUGGCGGAGCUGCUGGACGUGGUGGUGAAGGAGUGGGCGAGGCCGUAUAGGCGGAGUGACCGGAGGCUGCCC